This 253-nucleotide ribosomal RNA is filed under the name uncultured bacterium. RNAcentral's name for it is "partial 16S ribosomal RNA". It matches the Rfam family "Bacterial small subunit ribosomal RNA", at positions 524 to 776 of the family's 1533-position model. The record is from RNAcentral.
UACGAAGGGGGCUAGCGUUGCUCGGAAUCACUGGGCGUAAAGCGCACGUAGGCGGACUCUUAAGUCGGUGGUGAAAUCCUGGAGCUCAACUCCAGAACUGCCUUCGAUACUGGGAGUCUCGAGUUCGGGAGAGGUGAGUGGAACUGCGAGUGUAGAGGUGAAAUUCGUAGAUAUUCGCAAGAACACCAGUGGCGAAGGCGGCUCACUGGCCCGAUACUGACGCUGAUGCACGAAAGCGUGGGGAGCGAACGGG